UACGAAGGGGGCUAGCGUUGCUCGGAAUCACUGGGCGUAAAGCGCACGUAGGCGGCUUGGCAAGUCGGGUGUGAAAGCCCUGGGCUCAACCUAGGAAGUGCACUCGAAACUGCCACGCUUGAGUCUUGGAGAGGAAGGCGGAAUUCUCGGUGUAGAGGUGAAAUUCGUAGAUAUCGGGAGGAACACCGGUGGCGAAGGCGGCCUUCUGGACAAUGACUGACGCUGAGACGCGAAAGCGUGGGGAGCAAACAGG
This 253-nucleotide ribosomal RNA is filed under the name uncultured bacterium. RNAcentral's name for it is "partial 16S ribosomal RNA". It matches the Rfam family "Bacterial small subunit ribosomal RNA", at positions 524 to 776 of the family's 1533-position model. The record is from RNAcentral.